Molecule: non-coding RNA, 485 nt
Organism: Zonotrichia albicollis (white-throated sparrow)
Lineage: Eukaryota; Metazoa; Chordata; Aves; Passeriformes; Passerellidae
Source: RefSeq, a predicted model, not a curated record
GAGGACUUCUGGCUUUUUUCCAGGGUACCUGACUGUCUUAUUGCAUACUGGUGUCAUCCAGGGCAUCCAACAUGAAGAUCUCUAAUGUUAAUGAUAAAGAAAAUUACUUCCCUGCGAUCGGGAUUGGAGUGAGCACAAGUGGCAUCACUGUUCUGUCAGUUUCCCAGGCAUGAUGGAACAGCCCAAAUUCCAGCUGAUCUGCAAACCUGUGCACUUCCCUCUGUAGCUGUAGUAGCAGUGUGGUGGAUUGCUUGUCUGUCCUUCUACCAGACUUACCACAGAGUCUAUUUGGCAACAUUUAAAGGCAAAUUAUGGAUUGCAAGGGGAUGUUAUGGAGAGAAUAUGGUUCCCAAGCAGCCCUGUUAUCAAUAGGCAGCUAAGAAGGUACAUUAGGAACUUAGAAAUAUUAAAUGCAUCAGGAAGAAGAAAAAAAAAGAAAUUACUGUGGUGUUUUCAACCAGAAUUUCAACUCCUGGUUUUGACAU